This 363-nucleotide long non-coding RNA is filed under the name Elaeis guineensis (African oil palm). Its description in RNAcentral is "long non-coding RNA (EGUI_LNC048769)". Lineage: Eukaryota; Viridiplantae; Streptophyta; Magnoliopsida; Arecales; Arecaceae. The record is from RNAcentral.
GUGAAGUCAGUAGGAGGAUUUAUGACUGGUUGGCUGGAUUAGCUUUUACCUAAUCUUCUUUAAUCUAACUUGGUGAAGUCAGUGGAAGGAUUAAGAUUAACUGGUCAAGUCUUUUUUUAUCUCUCAAUUCAACUAAUUAAAUCCUCUAAAAUUGUUAGGUCCCUAAAAAUGAAAUAGUUAUAGUGAUAACUAGAUUAUAGCCUUCGAUUAAGUUGGAUGAUAAUAAGUCUAAUGGUUAGAUAAUCAUUGGAGGCACCACACACCUGGCGUUCAUCUGGCUAUCGAAAUUAUUAUUUAUAAUAUGUUGUUUUAAUUGUGUCUUUCUGAUGAUGGUCAGGUUGGCCGAGCCACACUCGGGUCUGA